Transfer RNA from Camelus ferus (Wild Bactrian camel), 72 nucleotides. It matches the Rfam family "tRNA". From Rfam's summary of the family: Transfer RNA (tRNA) molecules are approximately 80 nucleotides in length. Their secondary structure includes four short double-helical elements and three loops (D, anti-codon, and T loops). The record is from Rfam. NCBI's taxonomy places the organism in Eukaryota, Metazoa, Chordata, Mammalia, Artiodactyla, Camelidae.
GAGGGUAUAGCUCAUUGGGAGAGUGCAUGCUUAGCAUGCAUGAGGUCCUGGGUUCAAUCCCCAGUACCUCCA